Molecule: long non-coding RNA, 240 nt
Organism: Periophthalmus magnuspinnatus
Lineage: Eukaryota; Metazoa; Chordata; Actinopteri; Gobiiformes; Gobiidae
Exons: 3
Source: RefSeq, a predicted model, not a curated record
UUCAGAUGGAGUUUGCUUGUGUGAUUCUGUUUUUGGUGCUGGGUACGUGCGGUGCCACCCCACAAGAUCUGAGGGGUAAAAUGUUCACGUUCCCUGAGGACUAUGACUCAGGUUUUGUGAGAGUGGAUUUGGACCAGAAAGAGCUGAGGUCAUUCACUGUCUGCAUGAGGGUUUUCACAGACCUCGUGAGAGUGCACAACCUCUUCCAGCUGACCACAAACUCCUCCUACAACCCUGACC